UACAGAGGGGGCAAGCGUUAUUCGGAAUUAUUGGGCGUAAAGGGCGCGUAGGCGGCCUGGCAAGUGGAAGGUGAAAUCCCUCGGCUUAACCGAGGAACUGCCCUCCAAACUGCUAGGCUUGAGUCCGGGAGAGGUGAGUGGAAUUCCCAGUGUAGCGGUGAAAUGCGUAGAUAUUGGGAGGAACACCAGUGGCGAAGGCGGCUCACUGGACCGGAACUGACGCUGAUGCGCGAAAGCGUGGGGAGCAAACGGG
Molecule: ribosomal RNA, 253 nt
Filed under: uncultured bacterium
Lineage: Bacteria
Description: partial 16S ribosomal RNA
Rfam family: Bacterial small subunit ribosomal RNA
Source: RNAcentral